GAGUUUGAUCCUGGCUCAGAACGAACGCUGGCGGCACGCUUAACACAUGCAAGUCGAACGAGUGUUAUUGGGGCUUGCUCCGGUAACAUUAGUGGUGCACGGGUGAGUAAUACGUGGGAAUCUGCCCUUUGGUGGGGGACAACUCUGGGAAACUAGAGCUAAUACCGCAUAAUCUCGAGAGAGAAAAGAUUUAUCGCCGAAGGAUGAGCCCGCGCCUGAUUAGGUAGUUGGUAGGGUAAAGGCCUACCAAGCCUAUGAUCAGUAGCUGGUCUGAGAGGAUGGUCAGCCACACUGGAACUGAGAUACGGUCCAGACUCCUACGGGAGGCAGCAGUGGGGAAUAUUGGACAAUGGGGGAAACCCUGAUCCAGCGAUGCCGCGUGAAUGAUGAAGGCCCUCGGGUUGUAAAGUUCUUUUAACAGGAAAGAUAAUGACGGUACCUGUUGAAUAAGCUCCGGCUAACUCCGUGCCAGCAGCCGCGGUAAUACGGAGGGAGCUAGCGUUGUUCGGAAUUACUGGGCGUAAAGGGCAUGUAGGCGGCUUGAUAAGUUAGGCGUUAAAGACCUGGGCUUAACCUGGGGGGUGCGCUUAAUACUGUUGGGCUAGAGGAUGGAAGAGGAAAGUAGAAUUCCCGGUGUAGAGGUGGCAUUCGUAGAUAUCGGGAGGAAUACCAGUGGCGAAGGCGGCUUUCCGGUCCAUAUCUGACGCUGAGGUGCGAAAGCGUGGGGAGCAAACAGAAUUAGAUACUCUGGUAGUCCACGCUGUAAACGAUGGAAGCUAGAUGUCGGGGCGAAAGUUUCGGUAUUGCAGCUAACGCGUUAAGCUUCCCGCCUGGGGAGUACGGUCGCAAGAUUAAAACUCAAAGGAAUUGACGGGGACCCGCACAAGCGGUGGAGCAUGUGGUUUAAUUCGAAGCUACGCGCAGAACCUUACCCGCUCUUGACAUGGAGGUCGAGGAUCAGAGAGAUCAGAUCCGUCAGUUCGGCUGGACCUCACACAGGUGCUGCAUGGCUGUCGUCAGCUCGUGUCGUGAGAUGUUGGGUUAAGUCCCGCAACGAGCGCAACCCUUAUCUAUAGUUGUCAGCAGUUCGGCUGGAUACUCUAUAGAGACCGCCGCUGAUAAAGCGGAGGAAGGCGGGGAUGACGUCAAGUCCUCAUGGCCCUUAUGGGCGGGGCUACACACGUGCUACAAUGGUGGUUACAAUGGGCAGCGAAAGGGCAACCUGGAGCAAAUCUCAAAAAAGCCAUCUCAGUUCAGAUUGCACUCUGCAACUCGAGUGCAUUAAGUCGGAAUCGCUAGUAAUCGCAGAUCAGCACGCUGCGGUGAAUACGUUCCCGGGUCUUGUACACACCGCCCGUCACACCAUGGGAGUUGGUUUUACCUUAAGCCGGUGGGCUAACCGCAAGGGGGGGCAGCCGAUCACGGUAGGAUCAGCGACUGGGGUGAAGUCGUAACAAGGUAGCCGUA
Molecule: ribosomal RNA, 1467 nt
Filed under: uncultured bacterium
Lineage: Bacteria
Description: bacterial SSU rRNA
Rfam family: Bacterial small subunit ribosomal RNA
Source: RNAcentral